This 286-nucleotide small nuclear RNA is filed under the name Sorex araneus (European shrew). RNAcentral describes it as "7SK RNA (ENSSARG00000018338.1)". It matches the Rfam family "7SK RNA". From Rfam's summary of the family: 7SK was discovered as an abundant small nuclear RNA in the mid-70s but a possible function has only recently been suggested. Two independent studies have found that 7SK RNA binds the CDK9/cyclin T complex (known as elongation factor P-TEFb). P-TEFb activates transcription by phosphorylating the C-terminal domain of RNA polymerase II. Lineage: Eukaryota; Metazoa; Chordata; Mammalia; Eulipotyphla; Soricidae. The record is from RNAcentral.
GCAUGUGAGGGCGAUCUGGCUGCAAUAUCUGUCACCCCACUGAUUGCCAGGGUUGAUUUGGCUGAUCUGGCUGGCUAGGCGGGUGUCUCCUUCCUACCUCACCACUUCAUGUGCAUCUCUCCCAAAGCUGCAUGCUCGGCAAGAGGACAGCCGUCCUUCCCUGAACAGAGACGGAAGGGUAUAUGAGUAGCUGCACUCCCCUGCUAGAACCUCCAAAUAAGUUCGCAAUUUAUAAAACACAGAAUAUAUAGCACAAAAUUAUCCAUAAUAAUUGUUAAAUUUAUAU